Molecule: ribosomal RNA, 449 nt
Filed under: uncultured bacterium
Lineage: Bacteria
Description: bacterial SSU rRNA
Rfam family: Bacterial small subunit ribosomal RNA
Source: RNAcentral
UGGGGAAUCUUGCGCAAUGGGCGAAAGCCUGACGCAGCGACGCCGCGUGGAGGAUGAAGGCCUUCGGGUUGUAAACUCCUGUUAAGUGGGAAGAAAUCUCUAUCUCUAAUAUAGAUAGAGGAUGACGGUACCACUAGAGAAAGCACUGGCUAACCUCGUGCCAGCAGCCGCGGUAAUACGAGGGGUGCAAGCGUUAUUCGAAAUUAUUGGGCGUAAAGGGUGCGUAGGUGGUUCAUUAAGUCAAUUGUUAAAUCUCCCGGCUUAACUGGGAACAAGCAGUCGAAACUGAUGAACUAGAGGAUAGAAGAGAGAAGUGGAAUUCUCGGAGUAGCGGUAAAAUGCGUAGAUCUCGAGAGGAACACCGAUGGCGAAGGCAGCUUCUUAGGCUAUACCUGACACUGAGGCACGAAAGCGUGGGGAGCAAACAGGAUUAGAUACCCCUGUAGUCC